This 465-nucleotide ribosomal RNA is filed under the name uncultured bacterium. Its description in RNAcentral is "partial 16S ribosomal RNA". It matches the Rfam family "Bacterial small subunit ribosomal RNA", at positions 338 to 795 of the family's 1533-position model. The record is from RNAcentral.
CCUACGGGAGGCAGCAGUAGGGAAUCUUCCACAAUGGGCGAAAGCCUGAUGGAGCAACGCCGCGUGGGUGAAGAAGGUCUUCGGAUCGUAAAACCCUGUUGUUAGAGAAGAAAGUGCGUGAGAGUAACUGUUCACGUUUCGACGGUAUCUAACCAGAAAGCCACGGCUAACUACGUGCCAGCAGCCGCGGUAAUACGUAGGUGGCAAGCGUUAUCCGGAUUUAUUGGGCGUAAAGGGAACGCAGGCGGUCUUUUAAGUCUGAUGUGAAAGCCUUCGGCUUAACCGGAGUAGUGCAUUGGAAACUGGGAGACGUGAGUGCAGAAGAGGAGAGUGGAACUCGAUGUGUAGCGGUGAAAUGCGUAGAUAUAUGGAAGAACACCAGUGGCGAAAGCGGCUCUCUGGUCUGUAACUGACGCUGAGGUUCGAAAGCGUGGGGAGCAAACAGGAUUAGAUACCCCUGUAGUC